Molecule: long non-coding RNA, 1382 nt
Filed under: Equus caballus (horse)
Lineage: Eukaryota; Metazoa; Chordata; Mammalia; Perissodactyla; Equidae
Description: lncRNA (ENSECAG00000050708.1)
Source: RNAcentral
AAAAAUUAGUAACGUCUUGUUCAUGGUGGAUUUUUUUCCGUUAAUUUUGAUUGUUUAAAAUAUUGCAUCACAAGAUUCGUUGUCUUGACCGCUGAGUUUUCUGGGCCCCUUGGGUCCUGCGCCUCCGGAGCGUGGGCGCCGCGGGCCUGCGGAAGGCGGGCUGGGAGCCGGGCGGGCUCUUCGCCGCCGGCUGCUCUGCCUUCGGGGCGGGGCAGGGUGGCACUGGCACUGGGACUCAGCUUAACUACAUGCUGCAAGACGGAGGGCUUCCUUCUUGAGGCCAGAGACGCAGGGAGCCAGCGGCUCUGCCCCUCCCUCCGGCCUCUGCGCCCAGCUCAGCCGCCACCCUCGAUCCAGACCCCUCCCCGACCCCUGCUUCUCCUCCCGGACGCUAACCGAAAUCGCAGACCGUCCCUCCCCGCCCCCCCCGCCCCUGUCCUCCCCGGAGAGCAGCCUGCCACCUACUUUAGCGUGGGGCUGGGAGUGAAAGCGGGUCUUGACUCUGAGGGGAGGCUGAAGGGUUUGGUAGACGCGUUCGGCUGAGCGUGCUCCUUCCCGGGACCCUGCAGUGACACGGAGCUGUGCAUCUAAGAGAGAGCAGAGGAGUCAGGGGUCUGCGACAUUCCAUCCAUGGCCAGGGACAACUGCCUUCAGCGGACACGUUUAAAAGGACAAUGGGAGAGAAAACCAAGUGUGUUUUGAACACAUCACGUGUCAGCAGUUAACAAAAGGUUUUAAUGUAAUGGUGUUAAUAGCGAAAGACCAAAACACAAGUACUACGGAAGUACCUUUUAUCAACAUAAGGCAUUUACUGAGUGCUUGCAAAGCACUGUCCUGGGACUACAAAUAUUUAUACCUGUCGUCUUUGACCCCUGGGGCUGGCAACCUAAAGAAGGCAGACCAACGCAAACUCGAGUAACUCUAACCCGGGUUGACCAGGCGGACAGCUGUCCGUCAAGGUACACACUUCCUGCGACGGAGAGCGACGACAGCAAGGCUGCACUCCGACAGGGGCGGGUCGCAGCCGGGGAACCAGGCGCUCACGCUUCUUUCAGCUAUGUGUUUUCCAUCCUGAUAUUCGCAGAGCUGACUGCACUGAUCGGUCACCUGGCAGUUAUGAUUCCCGACACAAACGUAAAGCAUCAUCCGGCUUCGUACUGCGGAUGUGUCUUACUGAACCUCACGGCCACGUUCCCAGGAGGGAAAUCCUGGUGUUCCUCAGAUGGGAAUUUUGACCCAUUGCACUUAUCCUUCCCCUGGCAGCACUAACAAGAGCUUCAUGAAGACAAGUGUCCCGUGUCAGUUUAUCUGCAGAUGUGUGUCCACACACCAGCACAGUGCCUGCUACACAGCAGCUGUUCAAUCAUUCUGUUGAAUAAAUU